GACGAACGCUGGCGGCGUGCUUAACACAUGCAAGUCGAACGGAAAGGCCCUGCUUGCAGGGUACUCGAGUGGCGAACGGGUGAGUAACACGUGGGUGAUCUGCCCUGCACUUCGGGAUAAGCCUGGGAAACUGGGUCUACUACCGGAUAGGAGCCAGUUUUAGUGUGAUGGUUGGAAAGUUUUUUCGGUGUAGGAUGAGCUCGCGGCCUAUCAGCUUGUUGGUGGGGUAAUGGCCUACCAAGGCGGCGACGGGUAGCCGGCCUGAGAGGGUGGACGGCCACAUUGGGUCUGAGAUACGGCCCAGACUCCUACGGGAGGCAGCAGUGGGGAAUAUUGCACAAUGGGCGCAAGCCUGAUGCAGCGACGCCGCGUGGGUGAUGACGGCCUUCGGGUUGUAAACUCCUUUCGCUAGGGACGAAGCUUUUUGUGACGGUACCUAGAUAAGAAGCACCGGCUAACUACGUG
RNAcentral lists this ribosomal RNA (465 nucleotides) under uncultured bacterium. RNAcentral's name for it is "partial 16S ribosomal RNA". It matches the Rfam family "Bacterial small subunit ribosomal RNA", at positions 28 to 507 of the family's 1533-position model. The record is from RNAcentral.